AGGAAGGAGCGCGUGAAAGAACUGCUAGAUCGGUUGAACCUGCAUGAACAAGAGGGAGACGGCUUUGUGUGGGAAGAGGAGAUCGUUGAGCCUCCAACAUUGAUCAAAUAGUUAGCGAUUGCUAGGGUUCACACGUCUAGAGGGUUUAGUCCUACAACCCUCUAUUCAGAUAUGAGAUCGGCAUGGAAUCCGGCGAGAGAGGUGGUUUAGAGGAGGGUUGAGGAAAACUUAUUCACUGUACAAUUCGGUUGUCUCGCUAACUGG
RNAcentral lists this ribosomal RNA (264 nucleotides) under Triticum aestivum (bread wheat). Its description in RNAcentral is "partial small subunit ribosomal RNA". Lineage: Eukaryota; Viridiplantae; Streptophyta; Magnoliopsida; Poales; Poaceae. The record is from RNAcentral.